CCCCUCAAGCCUCCAGGUGCCAUGUCCAGUCCACCGCUCCCAGUUCCUGUUUAUGCCCCAAAGGCACCAAACCAGCUUAGACCUGAUCCUCCCACCAAGCCUCUCCCAAAGCUAAAACCCAAGCAGGUAAGGGGACAGCUUUGACUAUGAAGAGACCUUCCCCUCCUGCAAGUCUGUAGGCCCUUUAUUCCGGAGAGCAGCCUCCUAUGCUUUCCCUUGGGAGGAGGCUACAGGGAUUUGGAAGGUCUCAAAACACCACUAACUAAAGCUUUGAAAGUAAUGAUUCAUUUACUCUUUCCUACCCACAGUGUUGGAGUCCUUCCCAGCAGGGUUCCUUGGGGUUCCAGGUAAACUGGAACCCUUUUCUUAGUCCUAAAAGUGGGCUCCUACUUCUGAGUACCCAUGAGCAUUACUGUAGUCUUAGCCCUCCGUGCAUACUCCGGGGUCAUAGCUGUGAUGCUGGAGAACUUGUAUAUGUGUGUGCGUGCAUGCAUGUCUGGCCAGGGACUAAUUUUAGACUUACAUAAGGGCUGAAAAUCCUUUAAUCCCAAAACUUGGAAGGCAGAGACAGUUGAAUCUCUGAAUUCAAGGCCAGCCUGGUCUACAGAGUGAGUCCAAGAUAGCCAGGAAUAUACAGAAAAACCCUGUCUAAAACAAAUUAAAACAAAAAGAAACAAACCAAGGAAAAGAAAAAAAAGAAA
RNAcentral lists this long non-coding RNA (701 nucleotides) under Rattus norvegicus (Norway rat). RNAcentral describes it as "long non-coding RNA NONRATT003317". The record is from RNAcentral. Lineage: Eukaryota; Metazoa; Chordata; Mammalia; Rodentia; Muridae.